RNAcentral lists this ribosomal RNA (465 nucleotides) under Vreelandella stevensii. Its description in RNAcentral is "partial 16S ribosomal RNA". It matches the Rfam family "Bacterial small subunit ribosomal RNA", at positions 338 to 795 of the family's 1533-position model. The record is from RNAcentral. Lineage: Bacteria; Pseudomonadati; Pseudomonadota; Gammaproteobacteria; Oceanospirillales; Halomonadaceae.
CCUACGGGUGGCUGCAGUGGGGAAUAUUGGACAAUGGGGGGAACCCUGAUCCAGCCAUGCCGCGUGUGUGAAGAAGGCCCUCGGGUUGUAAAGCACUUUCAGUGAGGAAGAACGCCUGGUGGUUAAUACCCAUCAGGAAAGACAUCACUCACAGAAGAAGCACCGGCUAACUCCGUGCCAGCAGCCGCGGUAAUACGGAGGGUGCGAGCGUUAAUCGGAAUUACUGGGCGUAAAGCGCGCGUAGGUGGCUUGAUAAGCCGGUUGUGAAAGCCCCGGGCUCAACCUGGGAACGGCAUCCGGAACUGUCAAGCUAGAGUGCAGGAGAGGAAGGUAGAAUUCCCGGUGUAGCGGUGAAAUGCGUAGAGAUCGGGAGGAAUACCAGUGGCGAAGGCGGCCUUCUGGACUGACACUGACACUGAGGUGCGAAAGCGUGGGUAGCAAACAGGCUUAGCUACCCUAGUAGUC